CAGCUCCCAUCCCCUCCUUCUUCCCUGCCCUGAGAGCCAUCCGGGUUUCCUUUCCAGUCUCCCUCUGCUCCUGUGCUUUCUUCCCCUUCCCUCACUUCCCCUGCUCUGUCUUCUCCUCAGUUCCCCGCCCUCCCUCUCUGCACCUGCCCAGUUUCCCCCAUCUCCCCUCCAUGCUCCCUUCCUCCCCAGCUCCUGAGUUGGACCACCUCAGCUCAGCGCCCUACUUCCUGUGCCUGCCCCUGCCUGCUGCCCACCAUCCCUGCACACAGCUCACUCCUCCCUCUGGCCCUCCUGCUGAGCAGGCGGCUCCCCCACUGCCCUGGGCCUGCCCACCUUCCCCAGCCCCCGCAGUCAAGGCUCUCCAACUCCACACCACCGGGGUGAGGGCAGAGAGGCACCCUCUCCAGGGCUGCGCUUCCUCCAGCAGGAGCCAGCUGAGGAGGUGUGUCAUGCAACUUGCCCCCCCAGCCCUCCCCUUCUAAGGAACCCCCACACCUGCUCUGUCUUCCUGCUACAGUCUCUGAGAAAAGCCCUUUCAUCUGUCAAGAACUACAAAAGUCAUUCUUUAAGUGCUAAAUAAACAAUGAAACAGACACAAAGUUAAAGUUACCUGAUCCAAAAAGGAGUGAAGCCUAGACCCCAGCCCACUGACUCAGUCUCUAAGACCCCUCACUCAAAUCUUCAAUCAACAGUGGAGAUGGCUGUGAGCUCUUCUGAUUCCAGAUGACAAUACUCCUCCCUUUAAUUCCUUGAUAUGUUUAAUUAUGUAAGUAAAUUUAAUAUAAAAAUCAUUGCAUUAGAGUUCAUUGUUUUUAUACAAGAUUCAGUGUGAGAUCAAUGUUAUACUUCCAAUUUGUCACACUUACAGAGAACUGAGAAGAAUCACAUUAUUUAAAAUCUUAGCAAAUGUGCAUAAUUCCUUUGGAUAAUUUUAAAGUGAUAGGAUUGGAUCACAUAUGAUGCAAUUGCCUGGGUCUGUUUUGUUUUUAGUUGUAUUUGUCUCUCAUAUUGUGAAUCUCAUAUUUAUGUGACUAAUUAUCAGAAGAUUUUAUCUUUAUUAUGCAUAUUUAGUAUAAAAUGAUCAUACAGUGAAGAGUGUGUAAAAUCAAAAUAAAAUGCCAUUCAUCACCUCUGGCUCUCAUUCCAAGA
RNAcentral lists this long non-coding RNA (1149 nucleotides) under Homo sapiens (human). Its description in RNAcentral is "HSALNT0238629". Lineage: Eukaryota; Metazoa; Chordata; Mammalia; Primates; Hominidae. The record is from RNAcentral.